Molecule: ribosomal RNA, 777 nt
Filed under: uncultured Neocallimastigales
Lineage: Eukaryota; Fungi; Neocallimastigomycota; Neocallimastigomycetes; Neocallimastigales
Description: partial large subunit ribosomal RNA
Rfam family: Eukaryotic large subunit ribosomal RNA
Source: RNAcentral
CAUCACUACGCUAGAUGCAUAUCAAUAAGCGGAGGAAAAGAAACUAACAAGGAUUCCCCUAGUAACGGCGAGUGAAGCGGGAAGAGCUCAAAUUUGAAAUCUUAAAAGGUUUUCCUUUUACGAAUUGUAGUUUAAAGAAGUGCUUUUCUGUUGAAGUUUUGGUACAAGUUCUUUGGAAUAGGACAUCAUAGAGGGUGAGAAUCCCGUAUUUGACCUUAAUUUUUCAACUUUGUGAUACACUUUCAAAGGAGUCGGAUUGUUUGGGAAUGCAGUCCAAAAUGGGUGGUAAAUUUCAUCUAAGGCUAAAUAUUGGCGAGAGACCGAUAGCGAACAAGUACCGUGAGGGAAAGAUGAAAAGAACUUUGAAAAGAGAGUUAAAUAGUACGUGAAAUUGUCAAAAGGGAAGCGUUUGGCACCAGUGUUGUUUUUCUAAAAAUCAAUUUAAAAUUUGCUUAUGUUAAGUGUUUUAGACUUAAUCGGCUAUACAUUUAAUUCUUUGUAAAUUUUGAAUGCACUUUUUAGUUAACAAGUCAACAUCAAUUUUUUUUGCUGUAAAAAAGUAAGAGGAAGGUGGCUUGGGAUUCGUUUCAAGUCGUUUAUAGCCUCUUGCCCAUGCAGUAGGAGAGAUUGAGGUCUGCAGCAUAGAUCCUUCGGGGCUAGAUGCUUUUGUGCUAGAAGCUAGUAUUAUAUAGACAACUUGUUGAUUAUGUAAUAUAUUAGUUUCUACUCGCUAAGUUAUUUUACCUACGCUUAGGAUGUUGACUGAUAUGUAGUCGU